GACGAACGCUGGCGGCGUGCCUAAUACAUGCAAGUAGAACGCUGAAGAGAGGAGCUUGCUCUUCUUGGAUGAGUUGCGAACGGGUGAGUAACGCGUAGGUAACCUGCCUUGUAGCGGGGGAUAACUAUUGGAAACGAUAGCUAAUACCGCAUAACAAUGGGUGACACAUGUCGUUUAUUUGAAAGGGGCAAUUGCUCCACUACAAGACGGACCUGCGUUGUAUUAGCUAGUAGGUGAGGUAACGGCUCACCUAGGCGACGAUACAUAGCCGACCUGAGAGGGUGAUCGGCCACACUGGGACUGAGACACGGCCCAGACUCCUACGGGAGGCAGCAGUAGGGAAUCUUCGGCAAUGGGGGCAACCCUGACCGAGCAACGCCGCGUGAGUGAAGAAGGUUUUCGGAUCGUAAAGCUCUGUUGUAAGUCAAGAACGAGUGUGAGAGUGGAAAGUUCACACUGUGACGGUAGCUUACCAGAAAGGGACGGCUAACUACGUGCCAGCAGCCGCGGUAAUACGUAGGUCCCGAGCGUUGUCCGGAUUUAUUGGGCGUAAAGCGAGCGCAGGCGGUUUGAUAAGUCUGAAGUUAAAGGCUGUGGCUCAACCAUAGUUCGCUUUGGAAACUGUCAAACUUGAGUGCAGAAGGGGAGAGUGGAAUUCCAUGUGUAGCGGUGAAAUGCGUAGAUAUAUGGAGGAACACCGGUGGCGAAAGCGGCUCUCUGGUCUGUAACUGACGCUGAGGCUCGAAAGCGUGGGGAGCGAACAGG
RNAcentral lists this ribosomal RNA (765 nucleotides) under uncultured Streptococcus sp. RNAcentral describes it as "bacterial SSU rRNA". It matches the Rfam family "Bacterial small subunit ribosomal RNA", at positions 28 to 776 of the family's 1533-position model. Lineage: Bacteria; Bacillati; Bacillota; Bacilli; Lactobacillales; Streptococcaceae. The record is from RNAcentral.